GGCUGAUCUGAUGGUCCACUUCGGUGCGCACUGUUGGGUUGGCCUUUCCUUCUGGGGAACUUGCGUGCGCUUUACUGCGUGCGUAAGGGAUCCAGGACUUUUACUUUGAAAAAAUUAGAGUGUUUAAAGCGGGCAUUUGCUUGAAUACAUUAGCAUGGAAUAAUAGAAUAGGACUUUGGUUCUAUUUUGUUGGUUUCUAGGACUGAAGUA
This 210-nucleotide ribosomal RNA is filed under the name uncultured fungus. Its description in RNAcentral is "partial small subunit ribosomal RNA". The stretch from base 86 to 210 matches the Rfam family "Eukaryotic small subunit ribosomal RNA", at positions 737 to 864 of the family's 1831-position model. Lineage: Eukaryota; Fungi. The record is from RNAcentral.